Molecule: ribosomal RNA, 433 nt
Filed under: uncultured bacterium
Lineage: Bacteria
Description: partial 16S ribosomal RNA
Rfam family: Bacterial small subunit ribosomal RNA
Source: RNAcentral
AACGAACGCUGGCGGCAUGCCUAACACAUGCAAGUCGAACGAGACCUUCGGGUCUAGUGGCGCACGGGUGCGUAACGCGUGGGAACCUGCCCUUAGGUUCGGAAUAACUCCCCGAAAGGGGUGCUAAUACCGGAUAAUGUCUUCGGACCAAAGAUUUAUCGCCUUUGGAUGGGCCCGCGUUGGAUUAGCUAGUUGGUAGGGUAAAAGCCUACCAAGGCGACGAUCCAUAGCUGGUCUGAGAGGAUGAUCAGCUACACUGGGACUGAGACACGGCCCAGACUCCUACGGGAGGCAGCAGUGGGGAAUAUUGGACAAUGGGCGAAAGCCUGAUACAGCAAUGCCGCGUGAGUGAUGAAGGCCUUAGGGUUGUAAAGCUCUUUUACCCGGGAUGAUAAUGACAGUACCGGGAGAAUAAGCUCCGGCUAACUCCGUG